AAAAUUUAGUUAACAAAUAACAUUAGUUCGUCAAACUAAAAUCAUUAAUAAUAAUAAUUUUUG
This 63-nucleotide transfer RNA is filed under the name Sphaeroderma sp. BMNH 846647. RNAcentral describes it as "tRNA-Asp". The record is from RNAcentral. Lineage: Eukaryota; Metazoa; Arthropoda; Insecta; Coleoptera; Chrysomelidae.